Molecule: ribosomal RNA, 321 nt
Filed under: uncultured bacterium
Lineage: Bacteria
Description: bacterial SSU rRNA
Rfam family: Bacterial small subunit ribosomal RNA
Source: RNAcentral
AUUGAACGCUGGCGGCAUGCCUAACACAUGCAAGUCGAACGGUAACAGGGCCCUUCGGGUGCUGACGAGUGGCGGAGUGGGUGAGUAAUACUUAGGAAUCUACCCUGUAGUGGGGGACGAACCCGGGGAAACUCGGGCUAAUACCGCAUACGCUCUACGGAGGAAAGCGGGGGACCGCAAGGCCUCGCGCUAUUGGAUGAGCCUAAGCCCGAUUAGCUAGUUGGUGGGGUAAUAGCCUACCAAGGCAAUGAUCGGUAGCUGGUCUGAGAGGACGACCAGCCACACUGGGACUGAGACACGGCCCAGACUCCUACGGGAGGC